GGGAUAACCCAAUUUUUCCGUCUCAAACCCAAUUUUUCCCUCUCAAACCCUCACCUCACGGCUCAUCUUUCACUCAGCCGCACACACUCACUCACUUUCUCUCUCGAGAACACCUGAGAAGUUUUGUGAUAAAAACAAUUUGGGGAUUCGAAUUGGGACUCUAGGGUUCAUUUCUCAUCAGCCACAAAAUUGAAGAAGAAGAAAAGUAAGGAGAGAGAGGCGUGCAGCUGAAGAGCUCCUGUCGAUGGCGCAGCGGGGUUGGGCGGGCUCCUGUUCUCAGCCAUCUCUCUUUCUCGUUGGGGUUCAACGGAGCGAGGCUUGGUAUAUAUGGCUGAGCUCGUCUUCCUAGUGAGGCUCUGUGAAGGGUGAUGCAUGGACGACUUUUGUUGGGGUUUAGAGAAACAAAGCUCAACACUUGGAGAGAUGAGAAUUGCUUCCAUGGCCACUACUUCAACUUUUUCAAUAUCACCGCUUUUUGGAAAAUACAAGCAUGGCUAGCUCUCUUGGAACAUAUUUCUUAUCCCAAAAUUCCUUGAUCUUUUUAGAUGUGCUUAUAGUCUACAGGCUAAAACUCUACUUAAAGGAUAUUUAAGAGAACCAAGAUAAUUAUAUAAGAGAACCAAGGUAACAAGAAAUUAUUCUUCAAGUUGUUGGGUAUUAUUUUCGUGCUUGCUUGUAAGCAUUAUGUACAUUAGGGGUUUGAUGUAUUAUUUACAUUAAGAAUAAUGAAUUUUUAUUGAGAAUUAUUUAGUCUCACGAGGAUUUGAUGUAUUAUAUACAUUUUAAUUGUAUGAAUAAAUGUUGUAUGUAUAUGAAUUUUUAUUAUGAUAAAUAUAAUUUUGUUUACAA
Long non-coding RNA from Humulus lupulus (European hop), 849 nucleotides. RefSeq lists it as uncharacterized. The record is from RefSeq and is a predicted model, not a curated record. NCBI's taxonomy places the organism in Eukaryota, Viridiplantae, Streptophyta, Magnoliopsida, Rosales, Cannabaceae. The transcript is spliced from 4 exons.